UAUAUUCAAUAAAUUCAAUGAAAUUAUUGUCAUUUGUGAAAAAAAUUAGAACACAAAUAACUUAUACAUUUGAAAAAUUAACAAUUUUGGGCGAGAUAAAAACAAAACGUCCAUAUAAAAAGGAUAACAAAAGGAAGGUAUAUAUGACCAUAUUUCAAGAAAUAAAAACUUCAAGAAUUGCAAACCAUUUCGGGAUACGUGAGCGGUUUGGAAUACCCAUUUUGGCCCAUUAAACCACAGAAAUAAGAGAUUAAAUCGAUACGAUUUCUUGUAUCUCGCGGAUUUAAUAAACAAACUGUUGCCGAGUGAACCGGUUGAACUCUACUAUUCCCCUGCCAGUCAUGGUCAAAAAGCUACUGGUAAGCUCUAUGAUGCUUACAAUAACUAUCGCAAAAAGCUAUCUGAAAUUGGAUUGUUGCAAAGAAGAGCAUACAGUAUAAAAAAGUAAACUCUACUACUUGUCAAGAUAAUUCUGAUGAUUUUCAAUUUAUAAAAGAAACUUGUAUUCCCAGUGACGAAUUUAUAACUAGAUGGUCUAACUGCUUGCAGGAAAG
This is a long non-coding RNA of Lucilia cuprina (Australian sheep blowfly), 554 nucleotides long. RefSeq lists it as uncharacterized. Lineage: Eukaryota; Metazoa; Arthropoda; Insecta; Diptera; Calliphoridae. The transcript is spliced from 4 exons. The record is from RefSeq and is a predicted model, not a curated record.